CAUAGGGAGUAUGUCUGCUGUGUUAAUUAGACAGCUUCUGACGUGUCUGCAAGUGUCUUCUGGACCUAGAAUAAUGCCUCAUCAACUGUGCAUCUCAUCUGCCAUUCAUCCAAUAUCGCUUGGUGACAGCACAAGAUCUACCUAUGACACAAGAUGAUUGUCUUUUUGACAUAGAAAAAUACCAAAAAGAAACUUUCCGAGAUACUUAAUCGCGUUAAGGAAAAAAGGACACUAAAUGGAUGUGCAUCGGGGACUGGAGAAAUGGUUCCUUA
This is a long non-coding RNA of Mus musculus (house mouse), 272 nucleotides long. RefSeq annotates it as predicted gene, 34033. The record is from RefSeq and is a predicted model, not a curated record. The transcript has 3 exons. NCBI's taxonomy places the organism in Eukaryota, Metazoa, Chordata, Mammalia, Rodentia, Muridae.